UCCGGUUUGACACCGGCAGUCUCUCAUGAGUCCCCGACAUUACUCGCUGGCAACAUAAGACAGGGGUUGCGCUCGUUGCGGGACUUAACCCAACACCUCACGGCACGAGCUGACGACAACCAUGCACCACCUGUAUACGGCCCCGAAGGACACCAUAUCUCUAUGGCUUUUCCGUACAUUUCAAGCCUUGGUAAGGUGGGGAUGACGUAGCUAAGCCUUC
RNAcentral lists this unclassified non-coding RNA (220 nucleotides) under uncultured Euzebyaceae bacterium. RNAcentral's name for it is "contains 16S-23S intergenic spacer region". Lineage: Bacteria; Bacillati; Actinomycetota; Nitriliruptoria; Euzebyales; Euzebyaceae. The record is from RNAcentral.